This 210-nucleotide long non-coding RNA is filed under the name Brassica napus (rape). Its description in RNAcentral is "long non-coding RNA (BNAP_LNC005757)". The record is from RNAcentral. Lineage: Eukaryota; Viridiplantae; Streptophyta; Magnoliopsida; Brassicales; Brassicaceae.
UAUAGUGUAUAAAUAAUGUUUUUAAAGUACGGGUUCCAAAUGAUAUUAGUCCUUGUCCGGAUGAACCAACUAUUGGGUAUUACUCUUAAGGUUGUAAAGCCUCGGGUUGUACCUAAUAGGAUAUGUGUACUUAGGCGGUUGGCCUAAGGUACCUGGAUUUAUUUUGGGAACUUCGGGUUAGUCGUUUAUGUACACAUUGUGGCUUCUCGG